GAUGAACGCUGGCGGCGUGCCUAAUACAUGCAAGUCGAGCGAACGGACGAGAAGCUUUCUUUUCUGAUGUUAGCGGCGGACGGGUGAGUAACACGUGGAUAACCUACCUAUAAGACUGGGAUAACUUCGGGAAACCGGAGCUAAUACCGGAUAAUAUUUUGAACCUCAUGGUUCAAAAGUGAAAGACGGUCCUGCUGUCACUUAUAGAUGGAUCCGCGCUUCAUUAGCUAGUUGGUAAGGUAACGGCUUACCAAGGCAACGAUGCAUAGCCGACCUGAGAGGGGGAUACGGCACCCUGGCACUGAGAAACGGUCCAGACACCGACGGGGGGAAGCAGGAGGGAAUCUUACGGAAGGGGGGAAAGGCUGAAGGAGCAACGCCGCGUGAGUGAUGAAGGUCUUCGGAUCGUAAAACUAUGUUAUUAGGGAAGAACAUAUGUGUAAGUACCUGUGCAGAUCUUGACGGUACCUAAAGAGAAAGCCACGGCUAACUACGUG
RNAcentral lists this ribosomal RNA (497 nucleotides) under uncultured bacterium. RNAcentral's name for it is "partial 16S ribosomal RNA". It matches the Rfam family "Bacterial small subunit ribosomal RNA", at positions 28 to 507 of the family's 1533-position model. The record is from RNAcentral.